AUGACAUCUGCAAUAUUUGGUAGCCGUGUUGCUCAUCUGGGUGCUGACAUGCGGAUGAAGCUGAAGGCAGCAUAUACGUUGAUAGAGCAACUGUAUACCGGUGCCCAACAAGUUAUUUGUGCAGUCUCAUACAACAAACCAGCACCAACAUUGAUCAAGGAGACACUAGCCAAAUUGUCGAUGACACCGGCACAGAUAGAAGAAAUGAAGCAAUCUGCUACCAGGACUGGCGCUUUGUUGGCACUGACUCGGGCCAAAGCAUGGAUAGCUGAUCUGGAUCCAGUUGAUAUUGCCAAGGGCUACCCCGAUGAACAAGAAAACGGGUCAGAAUUUGAUAAUGAAGCCCUUCAAGCCCUGACAAAGGAGAUGCAUCCGCUGGCAAGUUAA
RNAcentral lists this ribosomal RNA (387 nucleotides) under Triticum aestivum (bread wheat). Its description in RNAcentral is "partial small subunit ribosomal RNA". Lineage: Eukaryota; Viridiplantae; Streptophyta; Magnoliopsida; Poales; Poaceae. The record is from RNAcentral.